This 73-nucleotide transfer RNA is filed under the name Sphaerodactylus townsendi. Its description in RNAcentral is "tRNA-Ala". The record is from RNAcentral. Lineage: Eukaryota; Metazoa; Chordata; Lepidosauria; Squamata; Sphaerodactylidae.
GGAACCAGUGGCUCAAUGGCAGAGCAGCUGCUUGGCAUACAGAAGGCCCCAGGUUCAAUCUCUGCCAUCUCCA